Ictidomys tridecemlineatus (thirteen-lined ground squirrel) is the source of this 277-nucleotide non-coding RNA. The record is from RefSeq and is a predicted model, not a curated record. Lineage: Eukaryota; Metazoa; Chordata; Mammalia; Rodentia; Sciuridae.
GCGAUACCCAGAGCGAACCCAUGUCAACUGUGGAUCUGGGUGAUAAUGAUGUGUCAAGCUCCGGUUCUUAAACUGACGAGGCAGAUCCAGGAAGGCUGUGUCCAUCCUUGUAUCCUACUGCACGCACCUGCUUGAGAAUGCAGCCGAUCCGAGCGGAGCAGUCCCCGCUGAUGGAAAGAGACAGCCAGGUCUUGGGCCUGGACCCCCGGGGCUCACGUCAGGCAAGCGUCUGCACGUUUUGGUUAUGAGAGCAGAUACAUUUCUCUUUAAAAAUUGA